This 400-nucleotide ribosomal RNA is filed under the name phytoplankton environmental sample. RNAcentral describes it as "partial small subunit ribosomal RNA". It matches the Rfam family "Eukaryotic small subunit ribosomal RNA", at positions 587 to 988 of the family's 1831-position model. The record is from RNAcentral.
AGCUCCAAUAGCGUAUAUUAAAGUUGUUGCAGUUAAAAAGCUCGUAGUUGGAUUUCUGGUAGGAGUGACCGUUCCGGACUUGAUUGUCUGUGUAUUGUGUUGUCUCCAGCCAUCCUUGUGGAGAACUUUUCUUGCAUUAAUUUGUAGGGAUUGGGACCCGCAUCGUUUACUGUGAAAAAAUUAGAGUGUUUAAAGCAGGCAAUCGCUUGAAUACAUUAGCAUGGAAUAAUAAGAUAGGACUUUGGUACUAUUUUGUUGGUUUGCAUACCAAAUUAAUGAUCAACAGGAACAGUUUGAGGAUAUUCGUAUGAACAUGUCAGAGGUGAAAUUCUUGGAUUUUGAUCAGACGAACUACUGCGAAAGCAUUUAUCAAGGAUGUUUUCAUUAAUCAAGAACGAAA